GGUACCUACCAAUCGUAGCGUGUCGACCAGCUGCGAAACACGCAGCUGGCACUGGCGCUGUAGGUAC
RNAcentral lists this unclassified non-coding RNA (67 nucleotides) under synthetic construct. Its description in RNAcentral is "RNA aptamer from synthetic construct (PDB 7U0Y, chain R)". The record is from RNAcentral.